RNAcentral lists this ribosomal RNA (771 nucleotides) under uncultured bacterium. RNAcentral describes it as "bacterial SSU rRNA". It matches the Rfam family "Bacterial small subunit ribosomal RNA", at positions 68 to 836 of the family's 1533-position model. The record is from RNAcentral.
GAGAAGGGGCUUUCGGGCCCUGAGUAAAGCGGCGAACGGGUGAGUAACAGGUGGGCAACGUGCCCUGAAGUUCGGAAUAACCCCGAGAAAUCGGAGCUAAUACCGGAUGUGGCGUUUCGGACGCAAGUUGGAAACGUUAAAGGUUAAUCUUUCGGGAUUAGCCGCUUCGGGAGCGGCCCGCCCUCGAUUAGCUUGUUGGUGAGGUAACGGCUCACCAAGGCGACGAUCGAUAGCUGGUCUGAGAGGAUGGUCAGCCACACUGGGACUGAGACACGGCCCAGACUCCUACGGGAGGCAGCAGUGGGGAAUUUUGCGCAAUGGGGGAAACCCUGACGCAGCAACGCCGCGUGAAGGAUGAAGGCUUUCGAGUCGUAAACUUCUGUCCUCAGGGAAGAAGGAAGUGACGGUACCUGAGGAGGAAGCCCCGGCUAACUCCGUGCCAGCAGCCGCGGUAAUACGGGGGGGGCAAGCGUUGUUCGGAAUUACUGGGCGUAAAGGGCGCGUAGGCGGCCUGAGAAGUUCUGGGUGAAAGCCCCCGGCUCAACCGGGGAAGUGCCUGGAAAACCAUCGGGCUGGAGUGCUGGAGAGGCCGGUGGAAUUUCUGGUGUAGCGGUGAAAUGCGUAGAUAUCAUAAGGAACACCUGAGGCGAAGGCGGCCGGCUGGACAGACACUGACGCUGAGGCGCGAAAGCCAGGGGGAGCAAACGGGAUUAGAUACCCCCGGUAGUCCUGGCUGUAAACGUUGGGUACUUGGUGUGGGGGGUGAAAAAA